GGAGAUGAGUGAGAGCUCCUCAGGGGGUAGCACAGUUGGAACAAGCUGCAUGUUCCAAUUACGACUGAGGUUCGAGACUUGCAUGCAGCCGAUUAAAUGCAAGUGCAAAAUGACUCUAUGGAAGAUCGAUGAUUGCGGCCUUGAUGUGGGUUGUAGAAACAGUUUUUAAUCCUUCUGACUCCUGAGGGGUGCUGGGGGUGACAUACUCACCCGACUCGGAGUCUCCCCUAGGGCGUGGUGGGGAGGAGAUUGCGCUUAUUGCUAUCCAAAUCAAACAUUCACUCAGCGGAUGGGGGUCCUUAUGGUCAUGCUCAGAGGAGGUUGCUCCAUCAGUCGCCCCCCCCCCCCAUCCCACUCC
RNAcentral lists this long non-coding RNA (358 nucleotides) under Elaeis guineensis (African oil palm). RNAcentral's name for it is "long non-coding RNA (EGUI_LNC000911)". The record is from RNAcentral. Lineage: Eukaryota; Viridiplantae; Streptophyta; Magnoliopsida; Arecales; Arecaceae.